AACAGAUACAUUUCCCCUUUGAAAACAAAACAGUUCUAGCCCCUGUGGAACUGAAGGCCUGUGGAUCAGAUGAGUCUUGUGCAACCAUAGCAAUUGGAUUUAAGCGCGUUUCUUGAAGACAGCCCAAAGACAAACUCCACGCUUUGCAUUUAUAUUUGGGGACAUUUUACAUUGCAUUUCUUUUUGUGGGAGUGUAUCAAUACCCUGAAAUUUACUCUACUUUUCUUCGUAACUCAGCAUCCCUCCCUUUACUAGACAACGAGAGCUGCAUACAAAAGAAAAAGGGAAAGUGAGAGUCCUCCAUUCUGCCUCCACUUGUCCUACUUCCUCUGAGCCAUCCCAUAACAUGAUUACGUUCCUUCGUAAUCAACUGUGUCAAAUACUUUGCUGCUAAUGAAAUAAUGUGACCCCUGGGAGGGGCAGGCCUUUAGAAUAUUCUUUGUGAUCUCAAAAAAUGGAAUACUGCUCUUGACAAGCCAACAUGUGACAUGAAUGCAUCCUGGCUACCACUAGCAACUGAGCUGGCCAAGUGGGUCUCAACUGCUCAGCAGGAUCCUCCAUCUUCCCCAGCCUGGACCCACAUCUCUGCUGGUCACCAUGGAAACCAGCCCCUCAGCCCUCAGUGCCCUGUGAGUACUCAGCAGUCCCCUGUGACACUGGAAGGACCUCCCUUCCUCUGCAGUACGUUCCAUCAGCAGAUACCAAAGGAGGACUCAUUGGGCCCUGAUGUAUCUCUCGGUUUACAAAUAGGUGGUUUUCUCCCCCUGCCACAAUAGCCAGACAGAAUAGGUUUGAGUACAGCCACCACCCUGUACCUGGAAUCUACUCCUCUCUGAACCUCAAAAAUUCAUCUUCUAGUCAAGCCAGACUCUGGCUUCCAUGUGGUAAGUUAUCUCUCAACUUUCUUCCCUGCCUCGACAAAAACCCUCUUGAGAUUCCUUUACACAGCCAUAAACACAUCUAAUCCACCAAACAGGUCUGAACCUGUCUUAGUCCUUUCUGUCCAGCUAUAACAGAAUACCACAGAUCGGUUAAUUUAUAAAGAAAAUCCAUUUAUUUCUCACAUUUCUAGGGGCUGAGAAGUCCAAGAGCAUGGUGCCAGCAUCUGGCAAGGGCAAUCCCAUGGAAGAAAGGUGGAAUGCAGAAGUGAGCAUGUGGGAUAGAAAGACAGGAAAUCAGGCUGAACUCAUCCUUUUUAUCAGGGGCUCACUCCUGAGGUGAUUAGCCCACUCCCAGGAUAAUGACCUUCAUCCAUUCAUAAGGGUGGGGCCUUAUGACUUAAUCAAAUCAUAAAGGCACCAUUUCUCAAUACUGUCAAUUGGCCACUAAAUUUCCACAUGAAUUUUUAGGGGACAGUCAAAUCAACUGUUGUAACCACUGAAGUGUUUGGAGGCUCUUAAUCUUCAGGAAGUGUAAUAAAACUAGCUGUGGAAAAUGAUGAGGAAAGGAGAGAAAUGUUUUUUUGUUUGGUUCGUAUACAUAUAAAUAUUACCUAACAAACAUUUAUACCCCAAUUACCAUUGGCCCUGAUCUAAGUCUUUUAUAUAUAUUAACACAUGCAAUCCUAAAACAGUUCCAUCAGAUAAUUAAUUAGGCCCAC
This 1600-nucleotide long non-coding RNA is filed under the name Homo sapiens (human). RNAcentral describes it as "HSALNT0072682". The record is from RNAcentral. Lineage: Eukaryota; Metazoa; Chordata; Mammalia; Primates; Hominidae.